Antechinus flavipes (yellow-footed antechinus) is the source of this 808-nucleotide long non-coding RNA. RefSeq lists it as uncharacterized. The record is from RefSeq and is a predicted model, not a curated record. NCBI's taxonomy places the organism in Eukaryota, Metazoa, Chordata, Mammalia, Dasyuromorphia, Dasyuridae. The transcript is spliced from 2 exons.
GCUAAAAAAAAAAAAAAAAGUAUGCUUUGAUCUGCAUUCAGACUCCAGAAGUUCUUUCUUUGGAGAUGGAUAGCAUUUAUUAUUGUCUUGAAUCAUAUUAUUGCUGAGAAUAGCUAAAUCAUGAUGAAAACUUUUUCAUAACUUCCUUUAUUCAUAUAGUCAUCUGACUGGGAUCUGGACAAAAUGUUUCAAGUAUCCCUUUCUUCACAGGGGAUUCUGGAGGAGAGCUUUGAGGAUAAUAACUUUCCACAGCUCUGCCCCACUCAUAUCCAAUUCAUUUUCAAGUCAUCACACUGGUGAAGUCAGUGGCCCUAAAGAGCAAAGGAGGAACAACAACUAGGGUUUUGCAUAACAUCACACAGAGAGAACUUCCCAAGCAGUUCAAUGAUCUCACAGUUGCUCACCAUCAUCCCCUGUAGUCCUUGGUCUUUAGUGGGAAAAGUGAAAGAGGCAGGCAAGCUGCCAUACAACUUGACAAAGAUGAAUCUUGAACUCUGGAGUCUGGAUCCUGAAUUCUCUCUCCUUCUCGUCCUUCAGCAGAGCAACUCUGAUUCUCUCCCUUAGCCCUCCAAUCCUUGCCUACAAUUACCUCACCCCUACACAUUCAGCAAGCACCAAUGGUGAGGAGAGUCAUCACAUCUUCAUCUCAUCUAAAUAUGUGUAUAUAGAGCCAUUAUCUCACAUGGAAUAGGUAAUUAGCCUUAGGUGCUCUGCUGUCUGAUUCAAGUACACCUUUUCAGAGUUUCAGCCCUCUACAAUUUUCUAUUAUUACAUAUGCUUUCUUGAAAUAAACAUUUAUUGUUGCAUA